Long non-coding RNA from Helianthus annuus (common sunflower), 164 nucleotides. RefSeq lists it as uncharacterized. The transcript has 3 exons. The record is from RefSeq and is a predicted model, not a curated record. NCBI's taxonomy places the organism in Eukaryota, Viridiplantae, Streptophyta, Magnoliopsida, Asterales, Asteraceae.
CAAAUUUCAGUUGGCAAGUUUUGAAGCUGUGUUCAAUGAUAUUGAUGAUUCGAAGUUUGAUAACUUUUUCUCAUCUCUACUUGAAAUGGAAGACCUUAAGAAGAAGUUCAAAGAUGAUUGGGAUAAAAAAACUGAACCGCAAGGCAAAGCAAGGGUUGUUUGUG